CUUGAUGGAACCCAGCAGCAACGGCCGCUCGGCACUCCGCUCCUGACCGUAAGUGGCCAUAAGCGCCUGCGCCUC
This is a non-coding RNA of Streptomyces autolyticus, 75 nucleotides long. The record is from Rfam. NCBI's taxonomy places the organism in Bacteria, Bacillati, Actinomycetota, Actinomycetes, Kitasatosporales, Streptomycetaceae.